AGGAGGGGGCUGGUCCCCAGUUGCAUUGCUCUCCAGGGCGCUGCCUGUUGAAGCUUACUGCUUUUGUGCGACUUUGAGGUAUGUUCAGGUGCCCUCUGAGAAAGUUCUGACUUCAUGUGGGUCUGCCUAUAGGGUGGAAGUACCAGUGUGAAGCUUGUGGGCCCUGCACUUCAUUGGUUUUUGUUAUUGAUAAACUGACUUUGUGUGUCCAAUUCAGGCUCGGACUGUUUGGAUUGUUUGAGUCUGGUCACUUACAGAGGCUUCCUCGGUCUGAAAAGCAGACAGCGGCUGCAGGGACCAGCACCCAACUAGAAGUGUACCAACAGGCCUGUGGACUGUGGAGUGUGACGUAGAAUCAGUGUGUGACGUCACCACCUCUCUGGUUGCUCUUGGCUUCAAAACCACUGUUGAAGAAGCAUCUGUGGGGAAUCCCAAAGGGACAUUGCUGAGAUGUUGCAGGCCUGGAAGUGGAACACCAG
Molecule: long non-coding RNA, 479 nt
Organism: Ochotona curzoniae (black-lipped pika)
Lineage: Eukaryota; Metazoa; Chordata; Mammalia; Lagomorpha; Ochotonidae
Exons: 2
Source: RefSeq, a predicted model, not a curated record